This 274-nucleotide ribosomal RNA is filed under the name uncultured bacterium. Its description in RNAcentral is "partial 16S ribosomal RNA". It matches the Rfam family "Bacterial small subunit ribosomal RNA", at positions 524 to 796 of the family's 1533-position model. The record is from RNAcentral.
UACGAAGGUCCCGAGCGUUAUUCGGAAUCACUGGGCGUAAAGGGAGCGUAGGCUGCGUGGUAAGUCAGAUGUGAAAUCUCAGGGCUCAACCCUGAAACUGCAUCGAUACUGCCACGCUAGAGUAAUGGAGGGGUAACUGGAAUUCUCAGUGUAGCAGUGAAAUGCGUAGAUAUUGAGAGGAAGACCAACGGCGAAGGCAGGUUACUGGACAUUUACUGACGCUGGAGGCUACGAAGGCUAGGGUAGCGAAAGGGAUUACGAUACCCCGUAGUCC